Rhamnusium bicolor is the source of this 76-nucleotide non-coding RNA. Lineage: Eukaryota; Metazoa; Arthropoda; Insecta; Coleoptera; Cerambycidae. The record is from the annotation of a GenBank genome assembly.
UGGCUUAUGGUCGAGUAGUAACGACACUAGACUCUCAAUCCAGAGUCCCAGUUUCGACCCCCGGUCAAGGAGCUAG